AAACACUGCCCUCCAGACUCAAGGUGAGGUGUGCUCCAGGGCCUGCAGCAGCAGCAUUAUUGGGAGUUGUUAGAAAUGCACAUCUGGGCCCAGCCAGCCUAAACUGGAAUCUGCGUUGGCAAGCUCCCCAGUGAUCUGUGUGCCCAUCAAAGAAGCACGAUGCUGAGUCUGUCACAAGCCAGCAUCAUCUCAUGUCACCUCCUAACACUCCUCAGAGGCCAAUUAUUCCCUGAUUUUACAGGUGGAAACUGCAGCUGAGAGGUGAAAGGACCUGGUUAAGGACUCAAGACUACCCCCAGCAGGAGCUGCAACAGGCAGCCAGACCGUCUGGCCUGAGUUCUCAACCCUACAUCCCAACACCCCCUGCGGUUUCCCAUUCAAUCACCACCAGCACUCCAAGGUCUCCUGCCCGAUUCUUAUUCAGUCAGGAUUCUUUGCCUGACAGACUGACCUAAGCCUUCUUCUUGAGGGCUGAGCCAUGGCUGUAAGGCAUCUCAGCAGGCUUCCAGCAACAUCGACCACUGGGUACAAUGAUGUAAGAGGUCCUUCACGGGGGUGUGGGUUCUACCCAUGGUGUGUGUGUGUGUGUCUGCGUGUGUCAAAGAUCCCCAGAUGGCCAGUCCCAGUUUCCAGUGGAACCACAAUGGUGCCUCCUGAUGGAUUUGCUCCUCCCUUCCAUUCUAAAACCACCAGACACACAAUCAAAACCCAGAGCCGCCUGCACAGGAAACAGGCAUUUUGAUGAGAGAGAGGGGCACCCUCAUCACUUCUAUUUCUAGUUCCAAGACGCUUUGGAAGAAACAUAUCAGAAAGGGUGGCUGUUCCAGAGCACACACUCCCCACAGACCUGACCUGGUCCAGCUACCAGAGGUGCAUCCUCUCCACGCCAAAGCCAUGCCUGGCCUUCUCUCUGAGCACCUUCAGGCCCAGUUCUGACAGCAUUUGGCCAGGUGUCUUUGGAGAUAGUCACCAGCACUGUGAGCAGACAGGAGCUGGGGAGGAGGACAAGAGCGAGGGCACCAGAACAGACAAGUCGUAGACUGGUCCCAGUCCAGCUGUCAGGCUGUGCUCCCUCCGCUCUGUGCCAAGUUCCCACUCUGGCCUCAGUUUCCUUCUGAGUCCCAGUGGGGAUAAUAACAUGACUCUUCCUCCUGCGGGGCUGUGCAGAUUAACUAAUUAAUGAGUGUGACAGCGUCUGCAUCCACAAAGGGGCUGAUUAAAUGCUGAGUGUUGUUAUUAGUAGCUGUGGCAGUUGUGUGACAGGCAGUUGGCUGGAGACAGAUCUGCCCCCUGCCUCCUCCCCAUGGAGGACCCAGAUGGAAGGGUCCUCCAUCUGCCCCAUGCUCCGCAAGCCGAACAUCUUGCAAGACAAAGCCAGGAUGAUUUUUAGCACCCCAAAGACAGCAUAGAACUUUUGCGCAUUUCCCCUGUGCUGGAAUGUGAGUCACAGCCGAGCUUCAUAGUGUAAUCUAUCUCCGACAGCUGGCACAGCUGUACCCUGCCCCAACUCAG
This 1512-nucleotide long non-coding RNA is filed under the name Homo sapiens (human). RNAcentral's name for it is "HSALNT0175878". Lineage: Eukaryota; Metazoa; Chordata; Mammalia; Primates; Hominidae. The record is from RNAcentral.